Homo sapiens (human) is the source of this 627-nucleotide long non-coding RNA. Ensembl annotates it as long intergenic non-protein coding RNA 2609. The record is from Ensembl. NCBI's taxonomy places the organism in Eukaryota, Metazoa, Chordata, Mammalia, Primates, Hominidae.
GACACGCCGCCCACCGCAGCCCCAGCCUCUCGCGUGGGGCCUCUGCCCGCACACACGCAGCCAGGCACUGUAAGCAUCUUCACUUUUUGUUUUUUGCUGAUGUUGAUUUAGUUGCUAAUUGGUGACAGAAAUUGUCAAAUAGGUGGCAGAUAGCGACUGCGGAAACUUCCGUUGAAGGAGGUGAGAAAAUCCUUUCAAAGAUGAACUGCCGCCUGAAAAGGGAUGGCUCACUAAAUUUCUCCCAGAUAUUUAUUGCUCGUAUUAAAAAGAUAAAUCAGAAAAGAGGAGCGAAGGCAUAAACCAGGCUUCUAAUGUGAGGAAAAACACGGAAUGACAAGUGUGGGAAAGAGCAAGCACUAAAUUACUGUCAGAAAAAUAAACGGAGUAGCACAGUGCUGCUCGGUGAUUUACGGGGGCAAUUAGUCACCACCCCACGGCGCUGCUGAGGACAGCACGGCAGCAGACAAGUCAGGCCCAUGAGGAAGAAGAGGCUUUGCACUGCUCUCCAGACAACUUUUCAAACAACAAGAGAGGAUAUUUGAGCACAUUAGGUUUUGUGUCUUCAUUCUGGGUACCUACUCUUCAUAUUAUUCUACCAACUUAAUACAUAAACAUAUUUUUAGCACA